Tauraco erythrolophus (red-crested turaco) is the source of this 652-nucleotide non-coding RNA. Lineage: Eukaryota; Metazoa; Chordata; Aves; Musophagiformes; Musophagidae. The record is from the annotation of a RefSeq genome assembly.
AUUGAGAAGGAAUUCAGAAACCACUUCCACAGUAGUGGAACUAAAGGCAGCCGCUUAUCUGUGGAGAUCGAUCGUGUCCUACUCAACGACUCGGGCACCUAUUUCUGCGCCAAGCAAGACUCACUCUAUAAUUUGAAUUUCGGCGAUGGUACAAAGCUGACAGUAAUAGGGAAGAACGAUGAAAUCGUGCCUCCAGCUGUGGCCAUCUUUUCCCCAUCAAAGCAAGAGAUCCAACAGAAGAGCAAGGCCACACUAGUAUGCCUGGCUUCUGGUUUCUACCCUGACCACCUGAAACUCAUCUGGAAGGUGAACGGUGCUGAGAGGACAAAAGGGGUGGGGACAGAUGAGUUUUCUACAUGGAAUGGGAGUACCUACUCAUUGACCAGCCGACUGAGGAUCUCAGCCCAGGAAUGGUUCAACCCUUUGAAUCGUUUUGAGUGUGUCGCCGAUUUUUUUAAGAAUGGAACGCUGGAAUCCAUACACAAAUUAAUCUACGGUGAUGCUGGAUGUGCACUCACAGAAGAAAACUAUCAGAGAGGUGCUACAUCUGGGAAGUUUGUGUACAUCAGGCUCAUUUUCAAGACUGUUUUGUAUGGGAUGUUUGUGAUGGGGCUGAUGCUUAGGUCCAAGGAGAAGAGCAGAGUUCUACUCU